Long non-coding RNA from Telopea speciosissima, 2370 nucleotides. RefSeq lists it as uncharacterized. NCBI's taxonomy places the organism in Eukaryota, Viridiplantae, Streptophyta, Magnoliopsida, Proteales, Proteaceae. The transcript is spliced from 2 exons. The record is from RefSeq and is a predicted model, not a curated record.
GCGUCCCGAUCACGUCUUAUUCCUAUUUUACCCAACCCAAAUUAGUUUUUAGAAACCUUAAUCUCAGUGAUGGAAUUCAAUUAGGACCAAGAACUCCUCUUGUUUAGCAUUCGAGAUCUUUAGAGAAUUAGGAAUGUAGAGGCUUUUCUUUCGCAUUUCGAAAGAGAACGCACCAAUUGAUAUAUCAAAUAGAUAUGGGAUGUAAAGUUUCUCUAAGUAAAUAACUUCAAUAUGAGCGAGACAGGCAUAGACAGAAUCGCCCAUCCGAUUUUCUUUUCUUUUCUUUGAGUUAAAUUAUUGUGAUCUAUGUUCCCAUCCUACCGGGAUCGCAAAUAGAUUAGAUUCGCUUACAUCCGUGUCUUGUCUUAUUUGAACUCCGUUUAGUUUGUGAGAAAGAAAUGAUUCAGAGAGAAAUCGUUAGAAAUCAGAAAGACGGAUCGCAUUGUAUCCAACAUUACACUUGUUCUUAAAGAGAAGAUUGUUAAAGAAAACAAUCCUUAUUCUGAUUGAAUUGGUCUGCUCUGGGACGGAAGGAUUCGAACCUCCGAGUAGCGGGACCAAAACCCGAUGCCUUACCGCUUGGCCACGCCCCAUUUCGAUUUCUAUUCGACACUAAUAAACAUUAAUAUCGAUGUUGGUUGUUCGUCAAUUCCAGUCCAAAUAUGUAUGGAAUAGAUUAGAUUGUUGCUAGGAUUUGAUACACGUAGAUGUAGAAUUAAACUGAAUUUAUUGAUCAUUACAUAUAAUUCAAUUAAGAUAUUAUAGGAAAGUAUCAUUCCUUCUAUUCUCAUUUGAGAAUUGAAGGAUUUUUGAUUGGGCGAGUUUAAAGAAAAAGAAGGAUUUUUAAAUUUAUCUUAUUGUUUCAUUUUUCCCUUAUCUUAUAUUAAUAACUCAAUCAAAAUACAAUUAUUUCCAAGAACGAAAUGCUUGUUAUGCUUAAAAUCUUUGCUUUGAUCUGUUUUCAUUCUACCCUUCACUCGAGUAGUUUUUUCUUUGCCAAAUUGCCCGAGGCUUACGCUUUUUUCAAUCCAAUCGUAGAUGUUAUGCCAGUCAUACCUGUGUUUUUUUUUCUCUUAGCCUUUGUUUGGCAAGCUGCUGUAAGUUUUCGAUAAGAUCUCUUUAGUCCUACAAGCAUUCAUGAUUUAUUCGAAAAAAAAAAUUAUAACAAUUGAUAAGAUUAGAUAAGUCUUACAUUAUAUUAUGAACCCUCGAUUGAAACAUUGAAACUGUUGGAUAGCAGCAAUAAGUCUGGAUCACCUCAUUUCCCCAUUCUGACCUUCUACUUCCAGUAAACAAGGACCUAUUAGGGUCCCCCACAAUAUCUUUAUCUAAUUGUGGGUAUGUAUGAAAGAGAAUUUUGGUAACGAAAGAAUCUUAUUACAACUGAAUUUCUGCGAAUUCCUUUCUUUUCUAGAAACUACUUGAUUUCUUGGUUUCAAAAUAGGAUAUGUGGUAUAAAAAUAGAUAAUCUAUUCCCCCUUUCCCCCCAAAAAGAUCUUGGAGAUUGUAAUGCUUACUCUCAAACUCUUCGUUUACACAGUAGUGAUAUUUUUUGUUUCGCUCUUCAUCUUCGGAUUCCUAUCUAAUGAUCCAGGACGUAAUCCUGGACGCGAGGAAUAAAAGAAUAAAAAGGGGGAUUUCUCGGUUUCCUUGCUUGAUUUAUGAAUUUUCUUAUGAUUUUAUCUAUUCGACACAUUUACAUUUAACCAUAACCAUGAACACAUUUAAUUAUGAUAAAAAGAACGCGAGAUUUUUCUUUCGAAUUCGAAAGAAAAAUCUCAAGUCAUUAAAGAAAACGGAAAGAGAGGGAUUCGAACCCUCGGUACGAAUAACUCGUACAACGGAUUAGCAAUCCGCCGCUUUCGUCCACUCAGCCAUCUCUCCUAAUUGAAAAAGAAUUCGACUUACUAUGUUACAGUUACACAUGAAGUAAAGAUUAAUACUUAAUAAAAGUUUUUCAAAUUCUAUUAUAUUAAUAUAUAUUAUCAUCAUUAUUAAUUUCAAUAUUUAUUAUUAAUAAUUAUUAAUUAAAUCUAUUUAAUUUCAUUUUAAUAUAUUUAAUAUAUAUAUUUUAUUUAUUUAUUGUAUAGAUAAGAUAGAAAAUUUAUUUACAAAUUUUAUCAGCAAUUCCAAUUCUAUUUCGAUAACGUAAGGACUCAAAAGGAAUAUGUUCAAUAGAAAAAAAAAAGAAUAAAGAGUAAAGAAUACCUCUUUGAUUUCAGGUCCUUUUUUUUAUUAUUCCCUCGGCCUGGCCUGGUCAAUACCUAGCCGGGUCCUCUUUCUUUUUUUGUUCCAAUGAAUCAUAGAUCAAAUGAUUUGAUUUAUCUGAUUUAAAAACAAAAAUACUUGUUAUGGGAACAAGAACAACUG